GAUGAACGCUGGCGGCAUGCCUAACACAUGCAAGUCGAUCGGUAAGGCUCUUUGGAGUACACGAGAGGCGGACGGCUGAGUAACGCGUAGGAACACACCCUGCAGUGAGGGAUAAGACACCGAAAGGUGUUCUAAUACCGCAUACGGUCUUCGGAUUAAAGCAUUUAUGCGCUGAAGGAGUGGCCUGCGUCAUAUUAGAUAGUUGGUGAGGUAAUGGCUCACCAAGUCGAUGAUGUGUAGCUGGUCUGAGAGGAUGAUCAGCCAGACUGGAACUGAGACACGGUCCAGACUCCUACGGGAGGCAGCAGUGAGGAAUAUUUCACAAUGAGCGAAAGCUUGAUGGGGCAAUGCCGCGUGCAGGAUGAAGGCCCUCGGGUUGUAAACUGCUUUUAUAAGAGAAGAUUAUGACGGUAACUUAUGAAUAAGGGACGGCUAACUACGUG
This 443-nucleotide ribosomal RNA is filed under the name uncultured bacterium. RNAcentral's name for it is "partial 16S ribosomal RNA". It matches the Rfam family "Bacterial small subunit ribosomal RNA", at positions 28 to 507 of the family's 1533-position model. The record is from RNAcentral.